This 777-nucleotide ribosomal RNA is filed under the name Pristimantis rozei (Roze's robber frog). Its description in RNAcentral is "partial small subunit ribosomal RNA". It matches the Rfam family "Bacterial small subunit ribosomal RNA", at positions 404 to 1407 of the family's 1533-position model. The record is from RNAcentral. Lineage: Eukaryota; Metazoa; Chordata; Amphibia; Anura; Strabomantidae.
CCCGGUGAAAACGCCCUAUUACCCCCCUCCCCGGGGGGAGGAGCUGAUAUCAGGCACAAUAAUUUGCCCAAAACAUCUAGCUAUGCCACACCCUCAAGGGUCCUCAGCAGUGAUUAACCUUGAAAAUAAACGUCAGUUUGAUUUAGUCAACGUAAACAGAGCCGGCCAAUCUGGUGCCAGCCGCCGCGGUUAUACCAAAUGGCUCAAAUUGAUUCACUCGGCGUAAAGCGUGAUUAAAGAAACAUUAUUCUCUGGGGUUAAACUUGAACUAAACUGUAAUACGCUUGUUUUUAAGAAAACCAUAAAUCGAAAGAUUCCCCACCACAAACUUGAAUUCACAAUAACCAGGCCACAAACUGGGAUCAGAUACCCCACUAUGCCUAGUAAUAAACUUUAACUUACACCUUUAACCGCCAGGAAACUACGAGCAACGCUUAAAACCCAAAGGACUUGACGGUGCCCUAUACCCCCUAGAGGAGCCUGUCCUAUAAUUGAUACUCCACAUUAAACCUCACCAUUUUUAGCUAAUCAGCCUGUAUACUUCCGUCUUCAGCUCACCGCGUAAGCGCAACAAGUGAGCUUAGUGUUACCCCAACAAUACGUCAGGUCAAAGUGCAGCAAAUAUUAUGGCAAGAGAUGGGCUACACUUUCUACUAUAGAAAAAACGGAAAAAUGUAUGAAACUACAUUAAAAAGGCGGAUUUAGAAGUAAGAAGAAAAUAGCAUACUCCUCUUAACCUGGCACUACGGCGUGUACACACCGCCCGUCACCCUCUUC